UGGGCACCCUCCUCCGCUGGGCCCGGGGUGUUUGCUGUUCGAGAACCUCGGAGUGGCGUGGCUUGGACCCUCGCGCUGCGGCCCUCGGCCCUCGGCCCUCCGCGCUGGUGUCCAGCGAGUUCCCUGGGUGCCGGGCUCCACCGGCCGGGCUUCUCUUGGGGGCGGGGGGCUCCCUUCCUCGGGGAUCAGCUCCCUCUCGCCCGCGGCGUUCGGUGGGCCCUUGGUACUCGAAAUCCAAAUCCGUUGGAGUUCGGGACCUCUUUUGUUUAUCUGGAAGGGGGCAAUAGAGGGAAGUUCGAAAAGAGGCAUCGAACGGGAAGGAGCAACUUCUAACACUGAUUUGUAAGGACCCAAGCGUCUCUGAAACCUUCCACUACUUCUACAGAAUUUAGACAAGGAGCAUGACCGUGUGAGGACGGGACACACAAAACACAGUGCCGGCUCCACUGUAUCUUGCUUUAUCACUACGAUUUGUGGACAUUUAUGAAGUAGGAGAAAUUCGUUGGUUCAAAAUGAGGCACAGAGAAAGGCAGAGGCAUAGGCAGAGGGAGAAGCAGGCUCCAUGCAGGGAGCCCGACGUGGGACUGGAUCCUGAACUCCAAGAUCACACCCUGAGCCGAAGGCAGAUGCUCAACCAUGGAGCCAGCCAGGCGUCCCAAGUCUCAAUAAAUUAUUAACUAUUACUUCUGAAUAACGUUUUUGGGUUUUAUUCCUUUACAAAGAGACCUCUGUACAGUAGAAUUGUCCAAAUAGGGUGACAUUUUGUAAGAUUUCUUGGAUCUAAAAGUUGGGGUGCCUGAGUGGCUCAGUUGGUAGAUAAUGCAACUCUUGAUCUCGGGAUCAUGAAUUCAAGCCUAUCUAAAAAAAUAAUAAUAUAACUUCUGAGAGUUGAUUUUUUUUUCCUUAACGUUUUAUUACAAAAUUUUCAUACAUCUAGAAAAAUUGAAACAACUUCACGGUGAAUACCCAUAUGACCAGCAGCUGGAUUCUGUAAUUGACAUUUCACUAUACUUUUUUUUUUUAAGAUGUUAUUUAUUUAUUCAUGAGAGACAGAGAGGAAGCAGAGACACAGGCAGAAGGAGAACCAGGCUCCCUAUGGGGAGCCAGUGCUGGACUCUAUCCCUGGAAUCACGACCUGAGUGGAAGGUAGAUGCUCAACCACUGAGCCACCCAGGUGCCCCAUCACUAUACUUGUUUUAUCACUUAUUUAAUCAACCAGCCAGCCCGCUCUCAUCUUUUUUUUUUUUUUUUAAUUUGUUUUUCAUCUUUUUUUUUUUUUAAUGCAUUUCAGAGUAAGUUGCACAUUGUCAGUACAUAAAUGUUGGUUUUGUUUUGUUUUGUUGUAGGUGUAUCAUUUUCCUCCAUUUCAGAGUUUUCAGAUUGGUACACAGUGUUAACAUUAGUUUCAGAUGGGGGUGCCUGAGUGGUACAGUUGGUUAAGUGUCCAACCCUUGGUUUCUACUGUCUGAGAUUGAGCCGUCUCAGGAUCCAUGGUCAGUGUGGAGUGUUUGGGUCUCUGUCUCCCUCCCUCCCUCUGCUCUUCCACACUGCAUAUGCUCUCUCUCAAAUAAAUAAAUGCAUCUUUAAAAAAAAUUUUUUUUUAAGAU
Long non-coding RNA from Canis lupus familiaris (dog), 1607 nucleotides. RefSeq lists it as uncharacterized. The record is from RefSeq and is a predicted model, not a curated record. NCBI's taxonomy places the organism in Eukaryota, Metazoa, Chordata, Mammalia, Carnivora, Canidae. The transcript is spliced from 3 exons.